Cyprinus carpio carpio is the source of this 620-nucleotide long non-coding RNA. Lineage: Eukaryota; Metazoa; Chordata; Actinopteri; Cypriniformes; Cyprinidae. The record is from Ensembl.
AACAAGGGAUAGCGACACUGAUCUAUAAUAUAGAACAUAUAUAGAUCAGUGGAUAGCGAGCGAGUAGAUUAGAGCAGAAUGGCCGGGUUGGAAGAAUUUGCACACAUAGUAAGACAGCUUUUUGAGAGUGAAAAAAAAACUCAUGCCGAGAGUUCCGCACUGCAGUCACGCUAUCUGCGCUUCAAGUUCAUCGCGCGUCUACUCGGCGUUGCGUAAUAGAUUAAGAUGUUGAAAGCCAGAGACAUAGAACUCAAACCAACUUUGGAGUUGUCUGAUUUGGCGAGUCAUCAUUCUUGGUCUUCCGUCUUAAAGGAUAGGUUCACACAAAAAAAUCAUUUACUUGCCCUCAUGUCAUUCCAAACCUAUACGACUUUUGUAUAUCUUUAGAAUACAAAUGAAUAUAUUUUGAAUUUUCUCAAAUUUUUGUUAAUCCAUUGAGAGUCUAUAUAAUCAGUAUUUUCAAGCCUCAUAAAUACAGAGUUAUUGUAGAAGUAAUCCAUUCCGAUAUUUAUAUAUGAAUAAAUCUUAAAUUAUAUGAUAGCAAACACGUAUGUUCAAAAUAAAACAUUUUUUGGUGGACUAACCCUUAGCGGCCCUCCACGUACAUGAACAUUUGUGAG